UUCUACUUUGCCCCUGCCUACUCUCUUUGACCAGUCCACUCCUAGGAGACAGAUUGGAAACAGAGACCAUUUACUUCUGAUCCUCAGGGCCAUUAGGUAGGCCAAGAACUACAUACAAAGCAACACACAACAGCAUGGGAACAAGAGCCCAGUGAAGUGGUUCCCACUCAGGGCACUAGAAAGUCAGAAAACAGGUGCUCUGUUUCCAGUAGACCCCCUGGAGUAGGUGGACCCUGGACUAGGACUUAAGGACAGGGAGAAUUUGGAUGGCCAGAAAUCUGGAAUGGCAUGAGAAUCUGUGUCCAUAUGCCAUAUUUGAGGGCCCCAGUGAGACCCUGCCCCGAAUGCCUGUCAUCCCAGGAGCUCCCAGAGUACUGGGAAGACCUGAACCACCAGGCUUUCUUUUGAUCCCUGUUCAGAGUUAGGGCAACAUGGGGCAGAGGGGCCCUGCAAAGAGUGGGCCAGGCCCAGGGUGCUUCAGAAGAGGCCUGUGGAAGGCAUCCCCGCUUCCACUCCCCACCUCUUCUCAUGCAUUCAGCAAACACUGGUGAGCACCUACUCCAUGCCAGAUAUUGAAGUCAAUGCUGAAGACACAUAAUACUCUCAAAGGGGAUGCUUUGAGCCCAGAGAUUCUUAAGGUCACUCAGCACUGAGGGCAAGGCAGGAGCUGGAUCCUGCCCAGAAUCAAGAGCAAAAUACAGUGGAGGAUAAAACCCUUUGCCAAGCUCCCUCAUUCCAGGGUGACUGUCAUACCCAGAGCAAGGAUGAGGGUACUCACAGUCAUGCAUCUCCUCUGACCUCUCUUCUCCAGUGCCCUUUCCCGGCACUUGGCAGAGAGCUUCAGGGACACUGACGCUGGGCCAAAUCCCUGAGACCCAGGCUGCCUGCUCACUUUGCAGAGGAGGGAUCUGAGGCCAGAGAGAUCUGAGCCUUUCCAGGACUGGCCUGACUUCACUUUUCUGCCCUGUGGAUAGGCUGUGUGUCUCUGUUUGAGGCUUGGAAGCACAGUCAGCAAGGAGGCUUUUGAGGCAGGAGCCAUUAUGCCUUGAAUAUGUGCCUUGAAUAGGUAGCUUUUUCCAAUGUAAUAUGAAGAUUACAUACACGGCGUCUGCCAUAGGGCAGACCUGGGUUCAAAUCCCAGUUCUGGGGUUCACGUGACUUUCAUACAGCAUAUAAGCUCAUCUGUAAAAUAGGGCCCAGGAUUGCUGCGAAGGUUAACUGGAAUGGUGUCCCUGAAGUAGCCAGGACAGUGUCCAGAUGACAAGUAGGUAGAUUGUUUUGAAACAAGGCCUGUGUCUUCCCCCAGCAUAUUCCCAGCCUACCUAAAAUAUCUUGCAGUUCUUCAGACGGUCUGGGGUCCUUUGUUCCUUCAUGACCCCUCCCAUGGAGUCCGUGUAACACCCGCUCACCCUACAAAACCUGACCCAGGUGUCUCCACUUUCCCAGACAGGGCCACUUGCCUUCCCUCCUCUGGGCUGUCCUGGGCCCCCAACACAGUUCCCACAGGCUAGUGUGCAGUUGUCUUUUGCUUGUCAAGGAACCUCAUGGGGGAAUUAGUGCAGCUGAUUUCGAAUCCUGGCUCCAUUACUUUCUUACAGUGUGGUUUGGGGCAAGUUACCUACCUUAUCCAAGCCUGUUUGUUCAUCUGUAAGGUAGGGUGAUAGCACCUUGCAGAAUUACAGGAUUAGAGAUAAUACCCAUAACAUACCUCACAUUGGGCCUGGAAAGUACCCAGUGUGUGCUAUCUUCAUCUCUUCACCUCUAAUCCUUAGUGCAGUGCUGUGCUCAGUAGGUACACUAUAAAUACUGGUUCAGCAGGUUAGGGAACAAAUUACUCCCCAUGCCCAGGUAGUUUUCAUUUUAAAAGCAGAACUAAUGAGGCCCAGGUCUAACCCAAAGAAAAAGGCCUAACAAUGGGAUCUGAGACCCUGUGUAGGACGGGAGUACAGUGAGAAGCUUGGGGCAUGUGUGUUGGAUCUCCUUAGUAGAAGCCCACAUCCUGCCCAUGCAGGGUGAAAAUGACCCACAGUUGUCCUGAUCCUGAAGCCCCUCCUUGGUUCCCAUGAGGAGAGCAGGAAAUGGAAGGGAAACAAGGUUGACAGCUCCUGGGCCCUCUGGACUUCCUGCCAUCCCAAUGCCCAUGGCUCCCUGAGCUGGGCCCCAGGAAUAGGUAAGGACAGAGAGGCAACAGCAACAAUGAAUCAUGUUGGAGACCCUGAAGACAAGAGGCAUCUUUGUGCCUCAAUUAGUGAAGUAUGGGGCCUUCACAAAUGGCUGAAUUUUCCCCUUUAUUUUAAAAAGCUUAUUUUUUUUUAUUUUUUAUUUAUUUAUUUUUUUUGAGAAGGAGUCUCACUCUGUCGCCAGGCUGGAGUGCAGUGGCGCA
This 2383-nucleotide long non-coding RNA is filed under the name Homo sapiens (human). RNAcentral's name for it is "HSALNT0250025". The record is from RNAcentral. Lineage: Eukaryota; Metazoa; Chordata; Mammalia; Primates; Hominidae.